CCGCCGGGGUCUGCCUGCUGCGGGGAGCGGCCUGCGCCGUGUCGCGGGUCGGGGUCGGCGCGGUCCCGAGUCGGAGUGAGGACGGAGGGAGGGUGGUGGUGGGCGCUCCUGACAGCGCUGAGGUGAAUGCCCUCUCACUUAGCGCCCGUGGUCAGCAGUAAUAAGGAGAACGCGUGGCUUCGUGGCGGACUUUUAGGUCGGAGAUGGAGGAUUUCCCAUUUUUAAAGGUCAACCAAACCCUUGGCAAAGGGCAAAUGAAUAGGCAAAACUCACUGAUCCGGCAGUCCCCUGGCAGCUGGGUGCAGCGAGGGAACAGCGAGGCUGCGAGGCUGCGAGCAGAGCGCUCCGCAGCGUGCUGCAGGAGCCGUGCCACAAACGGCCUGCGUAGGCUGGCUGCCGUGAUGAGAGGGUGCACAGCCCUAAUUGCACUGUGUGCAGCUUGUUCUAAACAGAUGUCUUCAGAUCACCUCCCACCUGAAUUUGUGUGUGCUACAUGCACAGGAACACAAGAGGAACUAUUUUACAGCGUUUUCUACAGCUCCUACUGAACAUACACCGACACUGGUAUCUGCCAGCUGUAGCGUUGUAUUCAUGUGCUACUUGGGAUUCCGUGUACAUGCAGCCUAGCAUUAACAGCAUAAUAGCAUUUCCUGGCUGAAGGAUAUCAUCGUUUCAGUCUUACAAGUCUUCAGAGUUUCCUGGCCCAGCAAUGAUAAGUGCAAUACUUUUAAUUGAAAAGAUGGAAGACUUCUUUGUAAUAGUAAAUUAUGUCUUCCAUUUCUACCAGACUGUAAGAUAACAGUCUUCAAAAGUAUGAUAUUUUUAGAACAACUAUAGUCUUUGGUUCAAGAUCAGCUCAUGCUGGUUUUGGAGCCCUGACCAUGUGUGUUUUUGAGGGAGGAAAACAUUUCCAUCAGGUGUAGCAGAUGUUGGGGAGAAAAAGCAUUUGCUGAAAUGCAUCCAUGAAAAUUAACAGGGUGUUUGGUGGUAAGUAAGAAAUGAAGGCAAAAAAAAAAAGAAAAACAACUUAUAACGUGAAGAUAACCGUAUAGCUUACCAUACAAAUGAUGUGAUUGUACAUGCUGUUAAAGUGUUGUUAACACUGUCUUUUGCAAGACCAUCCAUGGGAAGAACAUAGAAAAGUAAUAAGUAAUAUAUAGAUUGUGUACCAAAGACUGAAAGCACAUUUCCAUCUACAGCAUGGUAAUGGUAACAGGGUAUUAUUAUUAAGGUGCUGUUUUUACAAGUCAUUUCAAGUAUUGGUGACAACCUGUACAAACAUUGAUAAUAUCGCUGUCACAACACCCUACUAACACCGCAUGUUGGCACCCUUUAGCAUUGUAAUGCUUCACAGGCAACAGGAAAAUAUUGCAGAAUAACAUUUAUUACUCUGUAUUCAAUAACAGUCUUUGAUAGUUUGCCUACCAAUCCAUCCAUUCCUGAUCAACCACUUAAAAAAAUGCAACCUUUCUCAAUUAUAGCACCAUAUUACAUGGCUUCAUUUGCAUUCUCAAUUGAGAAUAGCAUCACCUUUGCCAGGUCAUUUCAAACUCAAAAGCUUUUCAUGUUUUCCCACCAUUUGAUCAGAUUAAGAAGAAUUAGGGCUUGUAGUAUUAAUGGUUAAAUUGUACACUUGAAGAGGGUAUUGAACACAGAGCUCUGGUCUUUUUAAUUCACUGUGUGUGUAGGGUUCCCGUGCAGCCUCAGAAAUGAGCAACUAGACAGCAAAGGCAGCAGAACAGCUUUGAUAGAGGUAAUUGAUUCUUUCACAGUGCCAGCUGGAACAGAGUCCACUGCACCUGCAACAGCCUCUCUGGUUUAUAAACACAUUUUAUCUUCUGUCCUAAACAAACAGGAAUUAAAAAAAAAAAAAAAUUAUUUGGCUUUGAGUCAUCACUUGUGGAUCCUUUUUUACCUGCUUUGGUGACCUAGGUCUGGAAACUGAGCAUGAUUGACUGUGGCAACACUUUAAAUUCAUUGUUAGUUACUAGACAACACUGAGUUCUAGUGUGAUGUUUUGGUACGAAAGCCUGAGGCAAUACUCAGCAGAAGUGAGUAGGUAAUAUUACCUUUCCUUCCAAUAUGGUGAGACAGUUAUUCAAAUUCUGUUGCUUUAUAAUUCAUCUACCUAGUUACAGGAGAACUAAGGGAGAGUAUUUCAGUGACAAAGUAAUGUUUCUAGAAGCCCAGUGCUUCACAACACUCUGCAAUGUUUUGAUUUACUACUGAGAGAAAAGGUCCUAUCUGAAUGAUUAAUUACAUUCUCUGCCCAUAAGUCAACAGAAAUCAACAGACUUCUGACCAAAGGCUGACCAAGACUGAUGCUGGCAAGUGCAGGAAGUUUGAUAAAUAUCUUAGAAGGGGAAUAACCAUAGAGUUUGAAAUUCUUACUUGAAGUAAAAAGCUCUCAUCCCAAUUUCUCAAUUUGGUCAUUUCUUAAAUCCUGCUCUUUUGUUUUUGCGUCUCCCCGUUUGUUGAUCUCUGAAUUUUUAGAUAUUUUUCAGGGUAAAAGAAACGCAAGUCUGAGUGACUUGAGAUGAGAUAUGGCUAAGUAGCCUAUUAAAGAUGGAAGUUCCGUGAGUUAUCACAUUACCAAUCUCACCUUGUGCCACAUUUAGGAAGAUAAAGAGUUGUGGUCUAGGAAAAGUUAGAUGUCAGUGUCCCUAAGUCUAGUUAUUUUCUGGAUACCUCAUUUUAGAUGAAAUUUAUACAGUAGCAAUAUUUUUUCCACAAAGAAGCCAUAGAGCUUUCUGGAAUACGGGAUUUAUGGAGUUAGAGGUACUACCUACAUCAAAAUACUUUUCAAUCUGUUUAUCAUCCCCGCCUGUGAUACUAUUUGUAUUCAUUUAGUACUGUUGCAAACAUAAAAAACACUUUGUUUUCUGCUUAGCACCUGUCCGACUUCUAAAGAGGGAGGGCUUUUUAGACUUAAAAGUUCUGAGAAAAGGAUUUCACGGGACCGGACUCAGGUGCUGAAACAAGCUGUGCUGGCUUCAGUGAAUUUGUGUGCCUUAUCCCAGUUGUGAAUAUGGCUUCAGUUUUCUACAAGAAUAAAACAAAUCUUUUCAGUUCUUUCACAAGUGCAGGUAUUAACUAACAGUCAUUAAAGCUACACUAGUUAGUGGCUUUUUGGUGAGUAUCAAGCCGCUUUUUCAUCUUGAAACUUAGCCUCUGACUACUGAAUAAUAAUAUCCUCUUGCAGGAUCAAUCCAGUAUCGUUAUAAUUUGGUAACAAAAGCAUUGUUGUUAGACUGAGUCACAAAGCACUGUGCGUCGAUACAUCUACAGAGUGAGAGGCCAGAAGCUGAAGUUAGGGCAUAUCAAAUAAUAACCAGUAAUCAAACACAUUACACACAAUAUUAUUUUCUCAAGACAAUAUGUAUCUAAGCCUUAAUGUUCUUUUUCCAAAGGCUAUACUUCUCGUGUAAAGUUCUAUUAUUUCUUCUGUUCUCACAGUAAAAAUAAUCAUAUAAAGGAACUGCAGAUUCUACUCACAGCAGUUCCCUCUAAAAUUUGACAGGUUUUGGAAGAAAGAUGAGGAGAGCUACUAACUAGAAUGCAAAUUUCUUGAAGGGAACUCCAGCAAUGAUCACAAGAUCCACCCAGCUGAGCUCUACUGCUUGCAGUCUGCAAGGUGGCUUGCUCAAGAUGAGCCCAGACAAGUCUUGCAGCAGUCAAAACAGAAAGACAAGAUACAGCCUCAGAAGUCCCUUUGGAGCAAACAUCUGCAAAAUGAAAUAUGAAGAUCAUUAGUGCCAGAGAUGCUACUAUCAAACAGUAGGGAAGAAUAAUGCACCCUGCUUUUUCUUUCUUGGAAGCAAAAGGAGUAGGUAUGGAGGGUUUGUCUUGUUUUGGGUGUUUUGCCAGGAAUCUCAAGCUGACACCUCUGCUGCUUUUGAGAGGAAGAGGUGGCAUGCUUCCGCCCUCAUGCAGGUAAAGGCUAAGGAGCAAACAGGAGCAGGGCUGCAGCUGCACAGUAUCACUGCUUGGGGCAAAUGCUCGGAAGCGCAAAUCUGCCUCUAGUGCAGUGCCUCAGCAAGCCCUAGCUCUGGAGAUUUUUACUGCAUGCCUUCUUAACACUUCCCCUGACGAGUCUGCACAAUACUGAGGCAGGAAAGGUCUGAUGUGCUUGAUCCAUGUCUCGCUAUCAUACAGUGACUGAAGAUGAUUCCAAGCACCUAUCUCUUAAAGCCAAACAAGCUCUCAAAGAGCAUUUACUAUUAUUUACUUCUUAUAAUUUUGCAUGCAGGACAGUGACAGGAUGUAAUGAGAUAAAAACAUAUAUAUUAUUGUACAAAAGAGUCUCACAUCUGCAGUCCUGAAUUAGUAGUGGCUGCAAUUACUAUGUAGGCAAUGCCCUGCAUCUUCAUUAUUUGUGUUACAGGGCCACUAUCAUUAAUACAGAGAUAAAUGUGGACUCCAGCAAGCGCCAAAUUUAUCCUUUUCAUUUUGAAUUGCUAAGGCACUGAAUAAACUGCAAAUCUGGGAACUGUUCGCUUCCUCAACAGAAGCAUUUGCUUGUCUGUUUCUGACGGUUUUGGUGUAAUUCUUUCAGAUGUUCUGUCCAGAAAUGUAACUGAUAUUUAUCCUCUGAUGGAGCCUUUUUUGUGAGUUAAGGUCCUUUUGGCUGUUUAACGCCCUCUGAAUUGCUCUCAGCCAUUCUUCAGCAAAUAACACAGGACACCCUCUCUUCACAGCUCAGGUUUAACAUACAGUAUUUACUCCGUAACAGCACUCAGGACAGUGAGGAUUUCCGCUGAGUGGUGGUAAGGUUUUCUGUAAAUCCACCAUUUUUAGUAAUCUUUGAAUGCAUUUCCCCGCAAGGGUUUCUUAACACAGCCCUAAGCCAAAUGAGCUUCCCCCAUCCAUCUUCUUGUGCAGAUAUUUUUCUUACCUGAGGGCUUGAAUGAGAGCUGUCCAGAUGAGCAAUCCUUCAGGAAUCAAUCUUGCAUCUCUUUCCAGGCAGAUCUGUAAAUCUGUCAGAAGGUCACGCAGUGGGAGCAGAAGGUUAGAUGAGAGAGCAAACGUGGUUGCUGAAGGCCAUAAAUGCAAGUUGCAGUCAGAGUGGUGGGAGAGGAAGCUAGCAGACCAGUUCAUCUUGGAACCUAUCUUCUAAAAAAGCUUUUAGAUUUGGGUUCACAAAGAAUGGAGCUAAAACAUGUUGAAGAAGAUGUUUCGCUGAUUCAGCCAGGAAUUCAGCACCCAGCCCUCAGCUCAGACAGCCUUAAAUCUCCUUGCUGAGAGCAGUGGAAAAAGCCAUCUAUACAACAAGUUCUUAUUUUAAAUCAAGGCAAUUUUUCAUUGUUUUCUGAUUCAAAUAGAUGUAGAGAUGCUAUACUGUGAUAGGGCUCUGUAUCAUUGUAGAGCCAGCACCUUCAAAGCAGAAUAUGGACGCAAAACCCUCAAGGAACAAGGUGCUUGAGUGAGCCAGUCUCUAGCAAGAGCAUGUUUGCCCAUCUCACCUAUGGCAAUAGUGGUGCAAAAGGUCCUUCAUCUUUGUUGUGACAUUGGUGACUCCUGCCUUUCAGACUGUAUGACAGAGCAUAUCUAGGGCCUCCAAUCAUGUAUUAGGAUGCUUCUGGAUUCUGUGAGUGAGCUGAUAAUCCUAAAGGAAGGUGACUGAUACAUUUAAUAUGAUUUCCUCAUAAUUUUGUGUCCAGUUCUUCUUAUGCAUCUCUAUUCACAUCUGUCAACAGUUACUACACAGUAGGAUCAAAGAUACCACUGUUUCCUGUACCUUGACUAUUAAUGCUCUUGAUUUCUCAGAUAUAACAGAAAGACACCACAGCAAAUACCACACUUUUCAUACCACAAAUUACUAGGACAUUCUUAAGAACAAGAUAAAUUAUGCACAUUUUUAAAAACAUUUCCAGAAGGCCUAAAAUAGUAGUACUAUAGUCUUUACAAGACCUUGCUGUGUUAUUAAGAGCUUUUUCUUUUCCACAGUGUCGUGGGAGGAACAGACCAUGCGCUGGUAAUGCUACAUCUUUUGCAGAUAGUGCUGUGUUCUCAGUGGCAACAUACUGUUUGUGACAGGAUCAAGCAGCAAAAGAUAGGGCUCAGGCUAGCCACGAUUCCCAUACUUACUUGGGAACUGCAGUAUUUUGAGAGUCUAGGGGGCCAGUAAGCCAGAUUUUGUUCCUAGAAUAUUUUCAAAGUCAACACUUUAUAAUAAAAAGCCUGUACACAUUACCCUUUGGACACCUUUAAAGUGAAGAUGCUUCAGGAAAGUAUCUAAUUUAUUUGUUUGCAAAUCUAGUAAGUGGGAAUUUUCAGGCAUUUUUUAUUCUCUCAUUACAUUUACAAGAUCAGAAACUUUCAAGUGAAUGAGAAAAAAAUAGGAGCCACCAAUAUUGCUUUUGAAAAGUCUUAUUUUUCAUCGUCUUGUAGUUUGCUGUAUGCUUCUCUGUGUUAAUCUCUGAGUUGGCAUGGGUGGAGCUCAUUUUAAUUUCCUGCUUCUCUUUGCUGCAGUAAUUAUACCAUCAGCUAUUUUGCUGUUUUAGUCUUUUAAGGAAAUUGAACUGCAAGUGACUGAAACCUGAACCUGAACCUAUUAUAAAAAGAGAAGAAAUCCUACCCCAGAUGUACUUCUGGAUCCAUCUCUACCAUACUUUUUCAUGUACCACCUAUCUUUUAGUCCAUCUUCCUUAGCCUUUCUCAUAACUGUUAAAGAGCCCCAACAUUUCCAAGUUUGAUGUAUCAGUCACUUAGAGUAGAGGCAGGGACUGCAUCUGUCCUUGCUUCUGCAAGUUGUCUUGCUAUUACAUUGUAUGUUGACCACUAAAGGAAUCUUAGUUUUAAGAUGUAUCUCGCUGUUGUUUUUAACUCGAGGAUGCAAAUAUCUAUGAGCUCAUUAUGCAGACCCAGUAAAUUAAAAGGAAUGGAUCAGAAAAUGCAAAGAGACUGAUAAGGGAAGGAAAAAAAAGCAGUAACAUCUUCAAUAAACAAAUUGUCAGUGGUUUAGGGUUGGUUCAGCCACUCAGUUCUGUGACCAGUGGCGCAGAGGGACUCACUGACCUGCACCCCAGGAGAGGAGGAAGGAAAAAAGGGGAGAAGGUAGGGAGACGGGCCUAAAAACAAAACUGCGGCAACAAGCCAAGGGAGAAAACUAAUUUUCUAAAUAUGAUAGUGGAAUGCAAGAUAACACAAUAUGAUACAAUAGAAUAGGAGUAGAAGCUGAUAAGUAAAAAGAGAGAGGGUGUGCAAAACCGAAGGCCUUUCUCUAAUGCUGAAGGCGAGAUGGCUAGGGAGCACACAACCGCAGAGACAAGCGGUAAAAGAAGGGGCGUCUCGUUACUCACAAGCAGUUUUAUCUUUCUCUCUAAACAGAAAAAAAGAAAGGGAACAGUGAAAAUCUUCUGGGAGAUGGAGUUCUUCUCUUCUGAGACCAGCAUUAUCAGCUUCAGAAAACUGAGAGCAGGACAAAGAGGAGGUCCAGCCAUCUAGUGGCUCAGCAUCUGCCCAAGGGAAUGCUGUGGCUCGGCUGCCUUUCGUUUGUCUUUGUGACCAUCGUUAACACUGGUUUCCUUGCUGCAAUGAAUGCUGAGAAGAUGCUUGCUUGCCAAGUCCUCUGGCACAAAAUCUGCAGAAUGAGUCACCCGUGCUCUCAUGCCAUUACGAGGUAUGGAACAGCUCACACAGGCUAUGCUUCUGAGUUGUUUUGGAAUUUCAUAUCCAGCAAAGGACUGUAUUGCAUGCAGCCCAGCAGCUGCCUUCUAGUCCAGCAGACCACCUGGGAAAGCUUGGUGCUCUGGCUAGCAUAAAGGAACAUUGCACAGAGCUCCCCUCGUACUGCCCAUAUUGUACGGUCAAACAGGACAAAACCUACAGAUUCUAACAGCCUUUGGGUUAUCUCUUAGAUCCAGCAGGAGCUGUUCCACUCCCCCAGCAGCGCAGGCGCAGCUGAGUCAUAGUUUCAUUACCCUUUGGCAUGCUCACAUGAGCUUCUGCUUCUUUUAUCUGUUGCCGGACUCUCUCUUCCCUAGAUUUUCCUGAGCACUGUUGAAAGACUGUUACAAUUACGUGCAUUCUCCACAUUGCUGCAGCUCAGCUUUGGAAAACCCCUUAAAUAUACACACCAGGCCCCAUGAAGUUUGGUUUCCCUACUUUUUCCAGCAAGUAUACUAACCACCAGACCAAGUUUAACUGCACCCAGCCUGCAUGCAGGUGCAUUCACCAAGGCUGCUCAAAGGUUUUAGCGCUCCACUGCUGCCAGUACAACUAGCUGGGGACGGUUAUAAAACAUACCAGGCUACAGCUGAAGCUCACCUUGAAAGCGUGAGGACUUCAGGAAAGCCAAGUCUGUUGUGUAAAUGAAUAGAAAUUAUAAAAAUGGAGUAGGACUAAGUUGCCUCAGAUAAAUUUUAUUAGAGAUGACCCUAAAUCAUAUGCUUCAGUGUGACUGAAAUGUAGCUGCAAGAGUGUAACUGAGAAAAGGCUGUUGGGGUUGUGUUCUGUUCAGAAUUAAUCAUGUUCUGGCAGCAGACCUGGUAUUUCACAUGAAUACUUGUCCUGGAUUGUAUCACAACAUCAAAAAAAAAACCCACAGGUGACAGGUUUAGUGCAAUAACAUCAGGUGGAUCAGACACAAGAGCACAUUCUUGCACUAUAAUGAGCCCAGUUAGAGUACACGACCUUAGAGGGCAGAGCUGAAAACCUCACCUCAAUCCUGCAGUUUACAGCAUGUAACAGACAGCAUACACGGCAAAAGCUUACACCCAGCUCCACAUUUCACAAAAAUGUGAAAGAACCAUCUACUCUUUAACAUAUUGUUUGUAUCUAAAUAUUGAAAAACUCAUAUCCCUCAGUUAUUGCUGUGGUGGCUUUUGGCUCGUAUUCACCACUAUUACAAACUCCAAUGCAUUAGUAAUUCCCAGUGUAGAGAUUUCACACCUUUCAUCUUCAUUGGAAUCUGAAGCAGUCACAUUAACAAGGUGAAGUGACCAUGAUUUUGAGGAUUUAGGGCUACUUCUGCAGCCUUGUGCAGUACAGUGCAACCUACUGCUGGGAAUCUGCUUGAGCAGGGGGACUGGACUCAAUCCCCAUAGGUCCCUUCCAACCCCUACAAUUCUGUAAUACUUAAAUGUUCCUGCACACGUGUAUAUAUUGACUCCAAAGCAGUAAGAAACGUUAACUACACGAGAGCAUUUAAAGAGAAGGGAUACUAGUUCCUUGCAGCAGAGUUGAUCUUGAAAUAACAUCGCUUCCCAGGUAAACGUGUGAGUGCUCAAAUCUGUUUGAAUUUUCACUUCUUCCCAAUAUACCUUUGAACAACUCUCAUGGCCUGAGAAAACCUUAGUUCUGGCCUUAUCCUUCACUCUUCCUUGCUGUCCCCAGUUUGUGUGCAUCUCUGUUGAUGACUUCUAAGAUUUGAGAGGCCUUGUAUUACUUUAAAAACUUCCAAAAUUUGGAAAGCAUGUGUUCCCAGAUUCCAGCUUGCAGACGUUUCUACCUUG
This is a non-coding RNA of Meleagris gallopavo (turkey), 9455 nucleotides long. NCBI's taxonomy places the organism in Eukaryota, Metazoa, Chordata, Aves, Galliformes, Phasianidae. The record is from RefSeq and is a predicted model, not a curated record.